GCAUUGGUGGUUCAGUGGUAGAAUUCUAGCUUGCCAUGUUGGAGACCUGGGUUCGAUUCCCAGCCAAUGCC
Molecule: transfer RNA, 71 nt
Filed under: Ameiurus melas (black bullhead)
Lineage: Eukaryota; Metazoa; Chordata; Actinopteri; Siluriformes; Ictaluridae
Rfam family: tRNA
About the family: Transfer RNA (tRNA) molecules are approximately 80 nucleotides in length. Their secondary structure includes four short double-helical elements and three loops (D, anti-codon, and T loops).
Source: Rfam by way of RNAcentral